GAGAAGAACGCAGCGAAAUGCGAUAAGUAAUGUGAAUUGCAGAAUUCAGUGAAUCAUCGAAUCUUUGAACGCACAUUGCGCCCGCCAGUAUUCUGGCGGGCAUGCCUGUUCGAGCGUCAUUUCAACCAUCAAGCCCCCGGCUUGUGUUGGGGACCUGCGGCUGCCGCAGGCCCUGAAAACCAGUGGCGGGCUCGCUAGUCACUCCGAGCGUAGUAAUACAUCUCGCUCAGGGCGUGCUGCGGGUUCCGGCCGUUAAAAGCCUUAUUUUACCCAAGGUUGACCUCGGAUCAGGUAGGAAGACCCGCUGAACUUAAGCAUAUCAAUAAGCGGAGGA
This 334-nucleotide unclassified non-coding RNA is filed under the name soil metagenome. RNAcentral's name for it is "partial contains 5.8S ribosomal RNA, internal transcribed spacer 2, and large subunit ribosomal RNA". The stretch from base 3 to 119 matches the Rfam family "5.8S ribosomal RNA", at positions 38 to 154 of the family's 154-position model. The record is from RNAcentral.